GAUCCUGGCUCAGGACGAACGCUGGCGGCGCGCCUAACACAUGCAAGUCGAACGGGGUGCGUUCGAAUGAAGUUUUCGGAUGGAAUUUGGAUGUACCUAGUGGCGAACGGGUGAGUAACACGUGAAUAACCUGCCCUGGAGUGGGGGACAACAGUUGGAAACGACUGCUAAUACCGCAUAAGCCCACAGAGCCGCAUGGCUCAGGGGGAAAAGGAGCAAUUCGCUUCAGGAUGGAUUCGCGUCCAA
This 246-nucleotide ribosomal RNA is filed under the name uncultured bacterium. RNAcentral's name for it is "partial 16S ribosomal RNA". It matches the Rfam family "Bacterial small subunit ribosomal RNA", at positions 15 to 240 of the family's 1533-position model. The record is from RNAcentral.